RNAcentral lists this ribosomal RNA (534 nucleotides) under Triticum aestivum (bread wheat). RNAcentral describes it as "partial small subunit ribosomal RNA". The record is from RNAcentral. Lineage: Eukaryota; Viridiplantae; Streptophyta; Magnoliopsida; Poales; Poaceae.
AUGGCCUCAUCAGUCUCGGAGAAGGUGCGGAAAAGUAAGAGGGGAACUAAGAGGGGUGGCGAUGAUCUCGCAAGCAGAUCGGAUGAGAGGGAUGGUGAUCUUCUCCCAAUAUCACAUAAGAGUACAAUAGUUCGCGAUGUAUACACAUAUGCUCGCUGCAAGGAACAGUUUGGGGAUCUAGAGUCCAUGGGUUACCCUGAGCCACCAAUAACCAUGCCAGAUGAUGAUAUGCUUUUGGUUAAUACUUUCAAGGAGACUUUUGGCGACACAUACCCUGAAGGUGAUUGGCGUGAAUUCAGUAAAAAGGGCUCUUCCAACAUAGAUCGCUAUGUUGUCGCGCUUGCUUCAUUCAGUGGAGAGAAAAGGCAUUUUGCAUGCUCAGGUUUUUUCAUCGAAUGGAAUGGAUCUAUGGUUAUUCUGACAUCGGCGAGCUUGGUCAGGAGUUCAAGCAAUGAGAAUAAGAUUGAUGAAAACUUGAGGAUCGAAGUGUUGCUUCCCAGGAAACGGCGCAUAAAGGGCACGCUACAGCACUAG